RNAcentral lists this transfer RNA (74 nucleotides) under Planctomycetota bacterium. RNAcentral's name for it is "Planctomycetes bacterium tRNA-Val". It matches the Rfam family "tRNA". Rfam says of the family: Transfer RNA (tRNA) molecules are approximately 80 nucleotides in length. Their secondary structure includes four short double-helical elements and three loops (D, anti-codon, and T loops). Lineage: Bacteria; Pseudomonadati; Planctomycetota. The record is from RNAcentral.
GGGCGCGUAGCUCAGCUGGCUAGAGCGCCACACUCACAUUGUGGAGGUCGUGGGUUCGAGUCCCGCCGUGCCCA